GACAUAAAAAUAAGUUGAAUAGCAGCCAACAAUGGUCUCAACUGAUGACGAGUGCAAUUCUGUUCCUUUACAACAAGAAAGAUGCAAACUCCGGCGACGUAUGACGGUGGAGCUUAAGAGAACAACAACAAUGAUGGUCACUGUAGGUUAGCCAAGGCUACGAGCAAAACCCUCAUAAUAUCAAAGGAACCACCACUAACAAUUUGAACCUUCAUGAGACCACGAGUCUGCCGCCAACAUCGACGACGCCACCACAGCCUAUCGAUGAAGAUGAGAACAACGAGAGCAGCAAAACACGAAAG
RNAcentral lists this long non-coding RNA (302 nucleotides) under Vigna radiata. RNAcentral's name for it is "long non-coding RNA (VRAD_LNC011582)". The record is from RNAcentral. Lineage: Eukaryota; Viridiplantae; Streptophyta; Magnoliopsida; Fabales; Fabaceae.